This 775-nucleotide ribosomal RNA is filed under the name uncultured Neocallimastigales. Its description in RNAcentral is "partial large subunit ribosomal RNA". It matches the Rfam family "Eukaryotic large subunit ribosomal RNA", at positions 22 to 644 of the family's 3401-position model. The record is from RNAcentral. Lineage: Eukaryota; Fungi; Neocallimastigomycota; Neocallimastigomycetes; Neocallimastigales.
CUAUACAUGACUCUGCGCAUAUCAAUAAGCGGAGGAAAAGAAACUAACAAGGAUUCCCUUAGUAACGGCGAGUGAAGCGGGAAGAGCUCAAAUUUGAAAUCUUCAAGGUUCUACCUUGACGAAUUGUAGUUUAUAGAAGUGUUUUCUGUUAGUAGAGUGGCAAAAGUUCUUUGGAAUAGGACAUCAUAGAGGGUGAGAAUCCCGUAUUUGGUCAUUCUUUCUAGCUUUGUGAUACACUUUCAACGAGUCGGAUUGUUUGGGAAUGCAGUCCAAAAUGGGUGGUAAAUUUCAUCUAAAGCUAAAUAUUGGCGAGAGACCGAUAGCGAACAAGUACCGUGAGGGAAAGAUGAAAAGAACUUUGAAAAGAGAGUUAAACAGUACGUGAAAUUGUCAAAAGGGAAGCGUUUGACACCAGUGUUGUUUUUCCGAAAAUCAAUUACGAAUGUUUUAUUUUUGAGAAGUUAUGACUUCAUCGGCUUGCUUCUCUCUUUAUGAAACUUUCUUAAUGCACUUUUCGGUUAACAAGUCAACAUCAAUUUCUUUUGUUGUAAAAGGGUAUGAGGAAGGUGGCUUUCUUUUCGGAGAAAGUGUUUAUAGCCUUGUACCUCUGCAAUCGGAGAGAUUGAGGUCUGCAGCGUAGAUCCUUCGGGGUUAGAUACAUUUGUGCUAAGUUAUAGCUUUUUCAUAGACAACUUGUUGACUAUGUUUAGUCUUGUAGCUUACUCGCUUAUGCUAUUUUACCUACGCUUAGGAUGUUGAUAGUCACAGCGUGUAC